This 61-nucleotide non-coding RNA is filed under the name unclassified sequences. The record is from Rfam.
AUCGUUCAUCCUUAUUUUUGGGGACGGAAGUAGGUAAAAAAUCAAACCGAAGGAACGCAUC